RNAcentral lists this transfer RNA (96 nucleotides) under Actinomycetes bacterium. RNAcentral's name for it is "Actinobacteria bacterium tRNA-Glu". It matches the Rfam family "tRNA". Rfam says of the family: Transfer RNA (tRNA) molecules are approximately 80 nucleotides in length. Their secondary structure includes four short double-helical elements and three loops (D, anti-codon, and T loops). RNAcentral also lists the same sequence under 4 other names. The record is from RNAcentral. Lineage: Bacteria; Bacillati; Actinomycetota; Actinomycetes.
GCGCCCGUAGCUCAGUGGUCAACGGUUCUCUUCGGGGAGCCAAAGAGCAGCGGUCUUUCAAGCCGCAGGCCGCGGGUUCGAUUCCCGCCGGGCGCA